Molecule: ribosomal RNA, 519 nt
Filed under: Stumpffia larinki
Lineage: Eukaryota; Metazoa; Chordata; Amphibia; Anura; Microhylidae
Description: partial 12S ribosomal RNA
Source: RNAcentral
UCGCCAUGGAACUACGAGCCCCCCCCUUAAAACCAAAAGGACUUGACGGUGUCCAACCCACCUAGAGGAGCCUGUUCUAUAAUCGACACUCCACGAUAUACCUUACCAUUUCUAGCAUACUCAGUUUGUAUACCUCCGUCGCAAGCUUACCAUGUGAACGUCACCAGUGAGCUAAAAGAUUCUUUCCCACCCACACGUCAGGUCAAGGUGCAACUAACGAAAUGGACAGCAAUGGGCUACAAUUUCUACAAUAGAACACACGAAAACUAAAUGAAACACGAUCACAAAGGCGGAUUUAGAAGUAAAAAGAAAUCAAAAAGUUCUUUUUAACUAGGCCCUUGGACGCGUACACACUGCCCGUCACCCUCCUCAACCCCUAGAAGAGGCAAGUCGUAACAUGGUAAGUGUACUGGAAAGUGCACUUGGAUAUCAAAAUGUUACUUAAUAAAAGUACCUCUCACACGAGAUAAUGUUAACUUACCUUAACCAUUUUGAGCCUAAAUCUAAGCCUUCCCCCCC